This 301-nucleotide ribosomal RNA is filed under the name uncultured bacterium. RNAcentral describes it as "partial 16S ribosomal RNA". It matches the Rfam family "Bacterial small subunit ribosomal RNA", at positions 509 to 807 of the family's 1533-position model. The record is from RNAcentral.
CAGCCGCCGCGGUAAUACGAAGGGUGCAAGCGUUAAUCGGAAUUACUGGGCGUAAAGCGUGCGUAGGCGGUGAGUUAAGUCUGCUGUGAAAUCCCCGGGCUCAACCUGGGAAUGGCAGUGGAUACUGGCUCGCUAGAGUGUGUCAGAGGAUGGUGGAAUUCCCAGUGUAGCGGUGAAAUGCGUAGAGAUCGGGAGGAACAUCAGUGGCGAAGGCGGCCAUCUGGGACAACACUGACGCUGAGGCACGAAAGCGUGGGGAGCAAACAGGAUUAGAUACCCCCGUAGUCCCUGUCUCUUAUAC